GUCGCCUGCAAUGUCAUAAUGUCUGUACAGUAUGUCAUUUUAUACUACAUCAUCGGGCCCACCUGUCGGGGACCCAAUGGCCAUGUACGCGCCUCCCUUGAGAUAUAAAAGGGAGGCGCUCGCUAAACAGAGGCUCGGACUCACUCUGGACUCAGCACCAGACAUGCCAAGACUCUCAACCUCUUGAGAGCGCAAGCAAUACAACACACAGUGGACGUAGGGUAUUACACUCCGGCGGUCCGAACCACUCUAAACCUGUUGCGUUCAUCGUUUUCUUCCACCGAGAUCGAACUAACCCUAGCUAACCCCCGAGUACUCACCCUCUGGGUUUAGGCGGGUGUACUACGCCACCCGGCUGUGGGUUUGCACACCACGACAGAUUCUUUACAGUUCUCAAACGUCACAUGGCACCUUUGCAUCAGUGCCAUCAAAUGUUCUGAAAAAUGUGUGUAUCUAUAGGAGUAAAUUCACCAGUCCUGACUCAUGUGCUAAAAUGUUCUGAAAAAUAUGAUUAUCUACAUAGAUGCUACCUUUAGUACUAUUGUACAUAAUUGUGCCUGUGUAUUUGAAUUCUAUUAUAAUAAUAAAUAAUGACCCAGCAGAUUCAAUGUAUAUGUAUGCAUGUUUGGACCUCCACAAAAAGUUCAUACUGCUGCAACUUAAAACAGUUAUGACGCAUAAAUACUCUUAAUCUUUGUUUAUCUCAUUAAAAAUAAAAUGAGGGCGCGCCAAGACGCGCGCAAAGUACUCGUAGCUCAUAUAGCUAGUAGUUUUUUCUCUCGCUGUGACCGUGAAGUUGUGGAUGCAUGGCCCGACUGGAAGGGAGAUCUUGUUGGUUAUGUGUAGUCCGUCGGAUGAACAGAGUCAUGGUGGACAUCCACCGUGGGCCAUUGCAAGCUAAGUGUGGUUGUUGUAAUGCAGCAGGAGCAAUGCAUUUUUAUUUGUUUUUUUUAAUACAAAAAGGAGAACAAGACAUUGAUCCCAUCCCAAAUUGGUCUUGCUUUAAUUUAAUACCCCCACAAACUUUCAGCACUAGAUUAGUUUAAUCAUAUAUUAUUUGUUAAAGGAAUUCACUCAUAUAUUAUUGGCCACGACGGCCGUAGUAGGGCGCCGCCACCGGGCUGCACUGCGGCUGCCGCAGGAACUCGUCGCAGGGGUGCAGCGCGGCGGCGGCGCCGUACGUGCCCUGCUGCGGCCACUCCCAGCCGAUCUGCUGCGCGGAGGAUGAGGCGGCGGCGGCGAGAGCAAGGACGCCGUACGUGCCAUGCUGCUUGCUCUGGGACGAUGGAUCAGAUGAAGAUCACGAUUGCUUUGCAAAUGUGGGGGCAGUUUAUGGCCGGACCGCCGGACACCGGCGGUGAUCGAUCCACCCAUGGCUUCCAUUCUCCAGCAUUUGCUUUAUUCAUUUAUUGGAUUCUACAACAGAUGAUUUUUGAACGUUGCAUUGCAUUACGUGGAGAUGGGAUUUGGAUAUCCACAUCAUCCAGGUUCCUUUACAACAGAAUAUUGGCGCUCCAUGAACCUUCAAUUGAAGUGCGAAACGUACAAGGCUACAAGGUAACAAUCGUGAACAAAAGCCUUCCCCCAGACAGGGCAAGGAAAGCUAGCACAUUUAUUUUAGCCGAAAAGCAACAGUAUGCCUCAGAUUUGUGACCUUGGCUUUAACUCAAAAUAAUCUCUAUAACUAGUGGGAGAUAA
Long non-coding RNA from Panicum virgatum (switchgrass), 1698 nucleotides. RefSeq lists it as uncharacterized. The record is from RefSeq and is a predicted model, not a curated record. The transcript is spliced from 2 exons. Lineage: Eukaryota; Viridiplantae; Streptophyta; Magnoliopsida; Poales; Poaceae.